RNAcentral lists this ribosomal RNA (371 nucleotides) under uncultured bacterium. Its description in RNAcentral is "bacterial SSU rRNA". It matches the Rfam family "Bacterial small subunit ribosomal RNA", at positions 521 to 896 of the family's 1533-position model. The record is from RNAcentral.
UAAGACGAACCGUACGAACGUUAUUCGGAAUUACUGGGCUUAAAGGGUGCGUAGGCGGCGCAGUAAGUUGGGUGUGAAAUCCCUCGGCUUAACCGAGGAAUUGCGCCCAAAACUACUGUGCUCGAGGGAGGUAGAGGUGAGCGGAACUUAGGGUGGAGCGGUGAAAUGCGUUGAUAUCCUAAGGAACACCGGUGGCGAAAGCGGCUCACUGGACCUCUUCUGACGCUGAGGCACGAAAGCUAGGGUAGCAAACGGGAUUAGAUACCCCGGUAGUCCUAGCCGUAAACGAUGGAUACUAGCUGUUCGGAGCAAUCUGAGUGGCUAAGCGAAAGUGAUAAGUAUCCCACCUGGGGAGUACGUUCGCAAGAAUG